UACGUAGGGUGCAAGCGUUGUCCGGAAUUAUUGGGCGUAAAGAGCUCGUAGGCGGUCUGUCGCGUCGGCUGUGAAAACCCGAGGCUCAACCUCGGGCCUGCAGUCGAUACGGGCAAACUAGAGUACUGCAGGGGAGACUGGUAUUCCUGGUGUAGCGGUGAAAUGCGCAGAUAUCAGGAGGAACACCGGUGGCGAAGGCGGGUCUCUGGGCAGUAACUGACGCUGAGGAGCGAAAGCGUGGGGAGCGAACAGG
This 253-nucleotide ribosomal RNA is filed under the name uncultured bacterium. RNAcentral describes it as "partial 16S ribosomal RNA". It matches the Rfam family "Bacterial small subunit ribosomal RNA", at positions 524 to 776 of the family's 1533-position model. The record is from RNAcentral.